UGGGGAAUUUUGGACAAUGGGGGAAACCCUGAUACAGCCAUCCCGCGUGUGCGAUGAAGGCCUUCGGGUUGUAAAGCACUUUUGGCAGGAAAGAAACGUCAUGGGUUAAUACCCCGUGAAACUGACGGUACCUGCAGAAUAAGCACCGGCUAACUACGUGCCAGCAGCCGCGGUAAUACGUAGGGUGCAAGCGUUAAUCGGAAUUACUGGGCGUAAAGCGUGCGCAGGCGGUUCGGAAAGAAAGAUGUGAAAUCCCAGAGCUCAACUUUGGAACUGCAUUUUUAACUACCGGGAUAGAGUGUGUCAGAGGGAGGUGAAAUUCCGCGUGUAGCAGUGAAAUGCGUAGAUAUGCGGGGGAACACCGAUGGCGAAGGCAGCCUCCUGGGAUAACACUGACGCUCAUGCACGAAAGCGUGGGGAGCAAACAGG
Molecule: ribosomal RNA, 429 nt
Filed under: Acidobacteriota bacterium
Lineage: Bacteria; Pseudomonadati; Acidobacteriota
Description: Acidobacteria bacterium partial 16S ribosomal RNA
Rfam family: Bacterial small subunit ribosomal RNA
Source: RNAcentral